CUUUCUCUUUUUAGAGGAAUUCUGGAGUUGGGAAUAUGUCCAUCUGGGUUAGCAGUUGUGUGGCAUUCUACAAACUAUCUGUUGUUCAGAUCAUUUUUCUUUCUACCACCAGCUUUACAUUCCCACAGGCUCCUUUCUACAUGCCCUGUCUGAUAGUUUCAGAUGGAGCCAGAAACGUCAAAUCAAACUUACCUCUCGUGGGCUUUCACCUCGCGCUGCAGAACAGAUCCUGAUCAGCCAGCCUCGCCCUGCAAGGGCUGCAGACACAGCUGUGUGCCUCAGACCUGCUGUGACAAACAUGGCAAGCAGCACCACAGCUCAGCCUGCCUGUCCACUGCUCCUUCAUUCCAACACGCACAGAACAAGAGUAAAGCUACAAAUCUCAAUGCAGAUCCAUGCAACAAAUGAAACAUCUUGGGGAAGGGAAAAGGUAACAUUUGUUUUUGCUACAAAUUUAUUUUGUGUGUCUUUGAGGGGAAAAUAUAGUGCUCUUGACUGUUUUGACUGUUAUAAUUUUAACAGACAUCAUGUGGCACUGUUACUGUUACUAGGGAAGGCUUCAUUUCAUCUUAAUGAAAGGAUUGGAUUUAUCAAUUAUGGUAUGAAGAAUGCAGAGGUUAUCCUUGAUAAGUGGACUUGUAACUGAAGGCAACGAUGGGCAAUCAUCACAAAUAUCAAACAUAACUUGAGAACGUAGAAACGUUGGAUCAAAGAAGAGUCAAUUACAGACAUGCAUUGUUAUUGAGCAAAAACAAAUCUUAAUAAGGUUUGUACCCUAUUUAAUCACUAUGUCAUAGUAAUAGAGAAACUAUUUAUUAAAAUGUUACCUUAGUUUAAUUACUAAGUUUAAUUACAACUGCAUACAGUUGUUGCUUCUCUAAGACAAUUAUGCCACAUAAGACUAAAAAGAAAUAAUUCAGAUAGUUUCACUUGAAAGAAAUCCAUUAGGAUCUUGUUUGGGAAUACUUUGAUCCUG
RNAcentral lists this long non-coding RNA (976 nucleotides) under Cyanistes caeruleus (blue tit). RNAcentral's name for it is "lncRNA (ENSCCEG00000020034.1)". The record is from RNAcentral. Lineage: Eukaryota; Metazoa; Chordata; Aves; Passeriformes; Paridae.